UGAGGCCUCCGUGGCCCAUCCAGCAGCCUGUGAGGGUGACCCCACUCCAGUCAGCCUCUUAGUCAGGGUGGCCGAGGUGACGGGCUCCAGCGUAGCGGGCGACUCCAAAGUGGGGCAAGGAGGAGGUGCAGGGCUGGCUAGGAUAGGGGGUGAGGGGCACGUGCAGAGGGUGGCCUGAGACCAGCUGCCACCAGGGGGGUCCCUACCCUGCCCGGUGCUGCCCCAAACACUGCUGCCUGAACACUGCAGACACACAUGGCCAGCAGGCACAGGGAUUCCAAAUGGGGACAAACUCGGGGCCCCGGGGAAGUAGGGGGGAACCGAUCAGUAUGAGCUGUAUGGCUGCUAAUUAAGUCCUGAUCCCCUGGCUCCACUUGAAACCAAUUAGGGAAGGGGAUCGAGUUCUGAGAGCAGGUGCUAACUGGUUGCAAAAGCCACGUCGGUCACUUCAGGAAAAGGUUUCGCAGGUAGCUCCAGUGAGGACCAGCUCAGGGAGCCCAGGCUUUGCCGAGAAAAUUCAUCACUGAACGUUGCCUCACGACACCAGGAGCGCGGAAGAACCCUCCUCUUCCUGUCAAAAAGAACUGUUUUCCCAUCCUCUGUUUUCCCCUCGGUAGCUGACUUUCUCCUUGCGUGGACAAUGGUGUAAUUUAGAAGCGAGUAAAUACUCUCCCGGAGAUGCCAGCGGCAGCCUCUUUGCAGCACAGACAAUAUGGUAUUUGUUGGGGCUCAAAUGCCAGUCCAGAGUUGGCCCCACACAAUCCGGCUCUCUCCUUUCCCAGACUGUUGAAGGAAAAAAAAAAAGAUUCUGAUCACACAUGUGUAAACACACUUCAUUGCAAAUAUUUAUUUGAAGGAAGCCUGAGAGUUCUGGUCUUCCUUUGAUCUUCGUGGGACAUGUUCUUAAUCCUGGCAGCAUGGGACCUACAUUUGGCACAUUUUGAUGAAGCUCCAGGCAAGUUGGCUGAAGUUGCUGGCACUGACUCCAGGAAUCAUUAUCAACAUAAUUUCCUUUUUCUUAUGACAUGUAAUCCCUUUCCUAGCCUCACACCCGGAUCUUCCGACUACUCUUGGUAUUGGGAGCCUGCUGCUUUGAGUCAUGCAUCUAACCUCCGUGCACAGGCUUUCUCUGGAAUGCAUUCUGUGUUUAUCGCACUAUUUAUUAGUUUUAUAGCAACAGAGCCGAGUUCUUCUUUGGUGUCUUUCUUUGGAUUGUGCACGCUGUUCAGCCCCAUAGAAAGAGUGGUUAGGAUUUUCGUUAGCACCUGAACUAACUUGAAAGAUAAUUGAAAGCGUGGAUAUUUAUGUGAAACAUUGUUUUAUGAUUGUUGAUUAAAAAAAUUAUUUCCC
Long non-coding RNA from Bubalus bubalis (water buffalo), 1350 nucleotides. RefSeq lists it as uncharacterized. NCBI's taxonomy places the organism in Eukaryota, Metazoa, Chordata, Mammalia, Artiodactyla, Bovidae. The transcript has 2 exons. The record is from RefSeq and is a predicted model, not a curated record.